UUCCGGUUGAUCCUGCCGGACCUGACUGCUAUCGGAUUGAUACUAAGCCAUGCGAGUCUUUGCAGUAAUGCAAGGCAUACGGCUCAGUAACACGUAGUCAACUUACCCUAUGGACGAGGAUAAUCUCGGGAAACUGAGCAUAAUACUCGAUAGAUCAUAAUGCCUGGAAUGGUUUAUGGUUGAAAUGAUUCGUCGCCAUAGGAUGGGACUGCGGCCUAUCAGCUUGUUGGUGAGGUAAUGGCCCACCAAGGCGAUUACAGGUACGGGCUCUGAGAGGAGAAGCCCGGAGAUGGGUACUGAGACAAGGACCCAGGCCCUAUGGGGCGCAGCAGGCGAGAAAACUUUGCAAUGUGCGAAAGCACGACAAGGUUAAUCCGAGUGAUUUCUGCUAAAGAAAUCUUUUGCAAGUCAUAACACCACUAGUGAAUAAGGGGUGGGCAAGUUCUGGUGUCAGCCGCCGCGGUAAAACCAGCACCUCAAGUGGUCAGGAGGAUUAUUGGGCCUAAAGCAUCCGUAGCCGGCUCUGUAAGUUUUCGGUUAAAUCUAUGUGCUCAACGCAUAGGCUGCCGAAAAUACUGCAUAGCUAGGGAGUGGGAGAGGUAGACGGUACUCGGUAGGAAGGGGUAAAAUCCUUUGAUCUAUCGAUGACCACCUGUGGCGAAGGCGGUCUACCAGAACACGUUCGACGGUGAGGGAUGAAGCUGGGGGAGCAAACCGGAUUAGAUACCCGGGUAGUCCCAGCUGUAAACGAUGCAGACUCGAUGAUGCAUUGGCAUAUAGCCAGUGCAGUGUCGCAGGGAAGCCGUUAAGUCUGCCGCCUGGGAAGUACGUACGCAAGUAUGAAACUUAAAGGAAUUGGCGGGGGAGCACCACAAGGGGUGAAGCCUGCGGUUCAAUUGGAGUCAACGCCGGG
RNAcentral lists this ribosomal RNA (913 nucleotides) under uncultured marine archaeon. RNAcentral describes it as "bacterial SSU rRNA". It matches the Rfam family "Archaeal small subunit ribosomal RNA", at positions 1 to 922 of the family's 1478-position model. The record is from RNAcentral.